AGAUCUGCUUCACUACAUGGAACCCCAGAGUUCAUUAAUGUUGGAGAUUUUUGGAAAUUAAUUUCUCAGUAAUGUGUCUUAAGUUACAAAACAUGAAGUGUCUUACUUGUGGAACAUUGGUAGACUAUGAUGAAGAAAACAAUUAUAAUCUUUUUUUGGUUUUAAUAAUAAUUCCAAAUCAUUUUAAAUUAAUAAUAAUUAA
Amphimedon queenslandica is the source of this 202-nucleotide long non-coding RNA. RefSeq lists it as uncharacterized. The record is from RefSeq and is a predicted model, not a curated record. The transcript is spliced from 2 exons. Lineage: Eukaryota; Metazoa; Porifera; Demospongiae; Haplosclerida; Niphatidae.